CGAACGCUGGCGGCGUGCCUAAUACAUGCAAGUCGAGCGGACAGAUGGGAGCUUGCUCCCUGAUGUUAGCGGCGGACGGUGAGUAACACGUGGGUAACCUGCCUGUAAGACUGGGAUAACUCCGGAAAACCGGGGCUAAUACCGGAUGGUUGUUUGAACCGCAUGGUUCAAACAUAAAAGGUGGCUUCGGCUACCACUUACAGGUGGACCCGCGGCGCAUUAGCUAGUUGGUGAGGUAACGGCUCACCAAGGCAACGAUGCGUAGCCGACCUGAGAGGGUGAUCGGCACACUGGGACUGAGACACGGCCCAGACUCCUACGGGAGGCAGCAGUAGGGAAUCUUCCGCAAUGGACGAAAGUCUGACGGAGCAACGCCGCGUGAGUGAUGAAGGUUUUCGGAUCGUAAAGCUCUGUUGUUAGGGAAGAACAAGUACCGUUCGAAUAGGGCGGUACCUUGACGGUACCUAACCAGAAAGCCACGGCUAACUACGUGCCAGCAGCCGCGGUAAUACGUAGGUGGCAAGCGUUGUCCGGAAUUAUUGGGCGUAAAGGGCUCGCAGGCGGUUUCUUAAGUCUGAUGUGAAAGCCCCCGGCUCAACCGGGGAGGGUCAUUGGAAACUGGGGAACUUGAGUGCAGAAGAGGAGAGUGGAAUUCCACGUGUAGCGGUGAAAUGCGUAGAGAUGUGGAGGAACACCAGUGGCGAAGGCGACUCUCUGGUCUGUAACUGACGCUGAGGAGCGAAAGCGUGGGGAGCGAACAGGAUUAGAUACCCUGGUAGUCCACGCCGUAAACGAUGAGUGCUAAGUGUUAGGGGGUUUCCGCCCCUUAGUGCUGCAGCUAACGCAUUAAGCACUCCGCCUGGGGAGUACGGUCGCAAGACUGAAACUCAAAGGAAUUGACGGGGGCCCGCACAAGCGGUGGAGCAUGUGGUUUAAUUCGAAACAACGCGAAGAACCUUACCAGGUCUUGACAUCCUCUGACAAUCCUAGAGAUAAGACGUCCCCUUCGGGGGCAGAGUGACAGGUGGUGCAUGGUUGUCGUCAGCUCGUGUCGUGAGAUGUUGGGUUAAGUCCCGCAACGAGCGCAACCCUUGAUCUUAGUUGCCAGCAUUCAGUUGGGCACUCUAAGGUGACUGCCGGUGACAAACCGGAGGAAGGUGGGGAUGACGUCAAAUCAUCAUGCCCCUUAUGACCUGGGCUACACACGUGCUACAAUGGACAGAACAAAGGGCAGCGAAACCGCGAGGUUAAGCCAAUCCCACAAAUCUGUUCUCAGUUCGGAUCGCAGUCUGCAACUCGACUGCGUGAAGCUGGAAUCGCUUGUAAUCGCGGAUCAGCAUGCCGCGGUGAAUACGUUCCCGGGCCUUGUACACACCGCCCGUCACACCACGAGAGUUUGUAACACCCGAAGUCGGUGAGGUAACCUUUUAGGAGCCAGCCGCCGAAGGUGGGACAGAUGAUUGGGGU
This 1467-nucleotide ribosomal RNA is filed under the name metagenome. RNAcentral describes it as "bacterial SSU rRNA". It matches the Rfam family "Bacterial small subunit ribosomal RNA". The record is from RNAcentral.